UGAAUGGUCGCCGAUGGUGUGCCAGUCUU
This 29-nucleotide small RNA is filed under the name Bombyx mori (domestic silkworm). Its description in RNAcentral is "ovarian small RNA-31189". Lineage: Eukaryota; Metazoa; Arthropoda; Insecta; Lepidoptera; Bombycidae. The record is from RNAcentral.